GGGGGGGAGAAGGGGGCGGGGAGGGAGGAGGGCUACGGGGCGGGGCCGGUUUUCCCGCAGGCCCUGGCUCCGCCCACUGUCAACGCUCGAUGGGCCCGCGGUCCCAGCCCCGCCGCGCGCCCGGCGGAGAGGUCCCACCUGGAGCAUUCGGUAUCCUCCCAGGUCUCGAGGCUUGCACCACAAAUGUGCCUCCCGAAUUAGGCAGGAACGGAGUGGUGGCGCUGGUGGCAGUGAGGGGCCAAAGGCUGGGAUUUGCCUAUUCUGGACAUUUCGUGUGAGUGGAACUGUACACUGUGGGGCCCCUUAUGACUGGCUUCUUUCACGCAGAGGAAUGUUCUCAAAGGCCUUCCGUGUUGCGGCACUGAUGUGCAAAAUGAAGACCUUCAAGAUGAAAUCAUCCUGGGGUAUGCUGAUGGGCCCUAAAUCAGACGGGUUUCCAGGAGAGACACGGGGAAGAGGAAAAGCCACGUGCGGACCAGGGCAGAGACUGAAGUGAUGCAGCCAUUAAUCAGGGAGCAGCUGGAGCCUCCAGAAGUCGAUGGGGAGCUGGAAGGACCCCGCCUACA
Long non-coding RNA from Manis pentadactyla (Chinese pangolin), 566 nucleotides. RefSeq lists it as uncharacterized. Lineage: Eukaryota; Metazoa; Chordata; Mammalia; Pholidota; Manidae. The record is from RefSeq and is a predicted model, not a curated record. The transcript is spliced from 3 exons.